RNAcentral lists this transfer RNA (74 nucleotides) under archaeon. RNAcentral's name for it is "tRNA-Thr". It matches the Rfam family "tRNA". Rfam says of the family: Transfer RNA (tRNA) molecules are approximately 80 nucleotides in length. Their secondary structure includes four short double-helical elements and three loops (D, anti-codon, and T loops). The record is from RNAcentral.
GCCUUGGUAGCUCAGUUAGUUAGAGCAGUGCUCUCGUAAAGCACAGGUCGUGGGUGCGAAUCCCUCCCAAGGCU